Long non-coding RNA from Daktulosphaira vitifoliae (grape phylloxera), 1150 nucleotides. RefSeq lists it as uncharacterized. Lineage: Eukaryota; Metazoa; Arthropoda; Insecta; Hemiptera; Phylloxeridae. The transcript is spliced from 3 exons. The record is from RefSeq and is a predicted model, not a curated record.
AAAAAAUUCAUUAAACCUCUAAGUCAAACACAGUAUGGCCAAAUAAACGAUCAAUAAUUGCACGUUUCUGGUUAUGUUUUUAAGUAAUAUUCUUUGUUUAAACCACUAACGCAUUUAGUGACAUUAGCGUAUUACCGAUUGUAAUCCUUAGAAAAAUUACUUCUAAAAAAGAAUUACGCAAUUAAUUGUUAAGAAAGAGGCAAAUAAAAAGAAUGGCUAUGAGUAAGUUCAAUGCAUCAAAUACGUUGACGCAUAGAAAAGCAAUAUUACCUUCCGUAUUUCAAGUAAAUUUUUUUAAAGGAUUUUGGUACACAACACUUAUAAUCAAUCUCAAUCAAGUAGCAACAGAUGUUUAAAUGAAGAAAAAAACCAAAUCGGGUUUAUGUCUCUUCGAUGAAGAAUUUAUCUUAUUGAAAGCGUACCACCGGGUCUCUCGAACAACAACUGCAUCGACUAGCUCUUUCUACAAUAGUUUGGAUGACUGACCACGUUACUGUCAGCAGCUGUCAAUAAGUAUACACCGUAAGUCAGGCACGCUUCUACUGAAUUGUAAAAAAUAUAACGUUACACAUUAACCACUGCAGUGCUUACAUUCUUCUAUAAGAUAUCCAAUAUCACCAUAAACGGCACAAGAGAAAAAAUGGCAAAUAUUGAAAAUUCAUAAUAGUUAUCUUUAUCGAUAAAUCUGUUUUAAUAUUUAAUCAGUUCUUAGACAGUUGAAACGUUACUAUUUCCGAAGAUACAAAAAAUCAAAUAUUUUUAUAAGAAAAGAGUAAAUAGCUUUAAAUUAAUAAAUUAUUAAGAAAAAAAAAUUAUUAGUUAAUUUACUUUUCAAAGAAGCUAUGUUCCAUUAUUAUAAUAUUUCUAUAUCUGAAUUCAAUACCAAAUAAAUAAUACAUACUUCUUAUAAUUAAAAAGAAAAUAAUUGAAAUAAAGAAAAGUUUUAAGGAGCAUUUGAAAUGAGCCUUAUUAAAAAUUCUAAUAACUACUUAAGUAGUAGUAUUUUUCUCAGAAUUGCGGUAAUUUUUUGUUAAUUUAUGAUCCAUGAAUAGGUUGCGUAUGUCACUAUAAGAAAUAUUACAUUUUUUGUAGUAAAUAAAUUAUAUUUCGAGAAAGACAGGCCAUUUUUAAUUAUUUAAUUGAAAUUCCA